GAUGAACGCUGGCGGCGUGCCUAAUACAUGCCAGUCGAGCGAACGGACGAGAAGCUUGCUUCUCUGAUGUUAGCGACGGACGGGCGAGUAACACGUGGAUAACCUACCUAUAAGACUGGGAUAACUUCGGGAAACCGGAGCUAAUACCGGAUAAUAUUUUGAACCGCAUGGUUCAAAAGUGAAAGACGGUCUUGCUGUCACUUAUAGAUGGAUCCGCGCUGCAUUAGCUAGUUGGUAAGGUAACGGCUUACCAAGGCAACGAUGCAUAGCCGACCUGAGAGGGUGAUCGGCCACACUGGAACUGAGACACGGUCCAGACUCCUACGGGAGGCAGCAGUAGGGAAUCUUCCGCAAUGGGCGAAAGCCUGACGGAGCAACGCCGCGUGAGUGAUGAAGGUCUUCGGAUCGUAAAACUCUGUUAUUAGGGAAGAACAUAUGUGUAAGUAACUGUGCACAUCUUGACGGUACCUCAUCAGAAAGCCACGGCUAACUACGUG
This 497-nucleotide ribosomal RNA is filed under the name uncultured bacterium. Its description in RNAcentral is "partial 16S ribosomal RNA". It matches the Rfam family "Bacterial small subunit ribosomal RNA", at positions 28 to 507 of the family's 1533-position model. The record is from RNAcentral.